UACGGGGGAUCCGAGCGUUAUCCGGAUUUAUUGGGUUUAAAGGGUGCGCAGGCGGAAUAUUAAGUCGGCGGUGAAAGUUUGCAGCUUAACUGUAAAAUUGCCGUUGAUACUGGUAUUCUUGAGUGUAUAUGAAGUAGGCGGAAUUUGUAGUGUAGCGGUGAAAUGCAUAGAUAUCGGGAGGAACACCGGUGGCGAAGGCGGCUUUCUGGCCAGUUACUGACGCUCAUGCGCGAAAGCUGGGGUAGCGAACCGGAUUAGAUACCCCCGUAGUCCCUGAG
RNAcentral lists this ribosomal RNA (278 nucleotides) under uncultured prokaryote. RNAcentral describes it as "partial 16S ribosomal RNA". It matches the Rfam family "Bacterial small subunit ribosomal RNA", at positions 524 to 801 of the family's 1533-position model. The record is from RNAcentral.